This 59-nucleotide transfer RNA is filed under the name Thermophis baileyi. Its description in RNAcentral is "tRNA-Cys". The record is from RNAcentral. Lineage: Eukaryota; Metazoa; Chordata; Lepidosauria; Squamata; Dipsadidae.
GGCCCCGUGGUGUGAUCAUGUCAGACUGCAAAUCUGAAGUUGGCAGCUGCCCGGGGCUU